The sequence is a ribosomal RNA, 434 nucleotides long. It matches the Rfam family "Bacterial small subunit ribosomal RNA", at positions 341 to 792 of the family's 1533-position model.
ACGGAAGGCAGCAGUGGGGAAUAUUGCACAAUGGGGGAAACCCUGAUGCAGCGAUGCCGCGUGGAGGAAGAAGGUUUUCGGAUUGUAAACUCCUGUCUUAAGGGACGAUAAUGACGGUACCUUAGGAGGAAGCUCCGGCUAACUACGUGCCAGCAGCCGCGGUAAUACGUAGGGAGCGAGCGUUGUCCGGAUUUACUGGGUGUAAAGGGCGUGUAGGCGGAACUGUAAGUCAGAUGUGAAAUCCCGGGGCUCAACCCCGGAACUGCAUUUGAAACUGCAGUCCUUGAGUAUCGGAGAGGCAAGCGGAAUUCCUAGUGUAGCGGUGAAAUGCGUAGAUAUUAGGAGGAACACCAGUGGCGAAGGCGGCUUGCUGGACGACAACUGACGCUGAGGCGCGAAAGCGUGGGGAGCAAACAGGAUUAGAUACCCUGGUA